GUUAUUUCUUGGUCUUCCCAUCUUUCCCUGUGGCUUUUUUAAGGUGUAUAUUUGUUUCUUCUGCACCUUAAUGAUCGUCAACAACAUGUGAAGUUUGAUUGUAAUGAUAGUACAAUAGUGGAGUGUUUCUUUGAGCUGUUCUGCUGCAUGUUCAAUUUUUGUUCUUUCCAGAAGAUUUUUUUUUCCUCCAAUAGUAAUUAUAAUGGCCUUUUUGCUUAUCACUCCCUAUG
RNAcentral lists this unclassified non-coding RNA (230 nucleotides) under Hevea brasiliensis (rubber tree). Lineage: Eukaryota; Viridiplantae; Streptophyta; Magnoliopsida; Malpighiales; Euphorbiaceae. The record is from RNAcentral.